Molecule: long non-coding RNA, 328 nt
Filed under: Elaeis guineensis (African oil palm)
Lineage: Eukaryota; Viridiplantae; Streptophyta; Magnoliopsida; Arecales; Arecaceae
Description: long non-coding RNA (EGUI_LNC044954)
Source: RNAcentral
UCACAUUGCAUAUCUCUUGUGUGAAGUCGAGAUAUAUUUCAUUAAACUUUUGCCAUACCUCUACAUCGGCUGGAUGCCUCAAUGCAUUAUCUUUUGUUUGCUCCUCUUUAUGCCAUCUCAUAUCCUUCGAUGUCCUUGCUGACAUAAAUAAUUUUUGUAGUCUUGGUAUCAGAGGAAAGUACCACAUCAACUUUUGAGGAAUACAGAUCAAUGUGCCAUCUUUGUUUUGUUUCCAUCUUGAUACAUUACACAUUGUGCACUCAUUUUCGUUGGUAUCCCCCUUCUAAUAGAGCAUGCAAUCGUUAAGGCAUACAUGUACCUUGUUGUA